This 468-nucleotide ribosomal RNA is filed under the name uncultured bacterium. Its description in RNAcentral is "partial 16S ribosomal RNA". It matches the Rfam family "Bacterial small subunit ribosomal RNA", at positions 28 to 507 of the family's 1533-position model. The record is from RNAcentral.
GACGAACGCUGGCGGCGUGCUUAACACAUGCAAGUCGAACGGAAAGGCCCUGCUUUUGUGGGGUGCUCGAGUGGCGAACGGGUGAGUAACACGUGAGUAACCUGCCCUUGACUUUGGGAUAACUUCAGGAAACUUGGGCUAAUACCGGAUAGGAGCUCCUGCUGCAUGGUGGGUGUUGGAAAGUUUCGGCGGUUGGGGAUGGACUCGCGGCUUAUCAGCUUGUUGGUGGGUUAGUGGCUUACCAAGGCUUUGACGGGUAGCCGGCCUGAGAGGGUGACCGGCAAAAUUGGGAAUGAGAUACGGCCCAGAAUACUACGGGAGGAAGCAGUGGGGAAUAUUGAACAAUGGGCGGAAGCCUGAUGCAGCAACGCCGCGUGCGGGAUGACGGCCUUCGGGUUGUAAACCGCUUUCGCCUGUGACGAAGAGUGAGUGACGGUAAUGGGUAAAGAAGCACAGGAUAACUACGUG